Non-coding RNA from Aegilops tauschii subsp. strangulata, 218 nucleotides. Lineage: Eukaryota; Viridiplantae; Streptophyta; Magnoliopsida; Poales; Poaceae. The record is from RefSeq and is a predicted model, not a curated record.
GAAAAGCGCAAAAAUAGAUAUUAAAGAUAGCACCAUCGGGGCUAAUGUACUAUCUAAAAGUGCACUGAUGCCUAGUAUGUAAAGUUACCUAGAAAAACUCCAGCACAUGAAAGGUGUGACAAAAUAAAGGGGAAACAACAAUCCUCCUCAAGAAAUGGUGCUGAUAGGCAGACAUAUUCCUUUUCAUGUACUGUGGUGCAAGAGUUCAGAAGAAAUCA